Molecule: ribosomal RNA, 232 nt
Filed under: uncultured bacterium
Lineage: Bacteria
Description: partial 16S ribosomal RNA
Rfam family: Bacterial small subunit ribosomal RNA
Source: RNAcentral
GAUCAUGGCUCAGGAUGAACGCUAGCGGCAGGCUUAACACAUGCAAGUCGAGGGGCAGCAUAAUGGAUAGCAAUAUCUAUGGUGGCGACCGGCGCACGGGUGCGUAACGCGUAUGCAACCUACCUUUAACAGGGGGAGUAACACUGAGAAAUUAGGUACUAAUACCCCACUAACAUCAUGAGAGGCAUCUUUUAUGGUUGAAAUUCCGAUGGUUAGAGAUGGGCAUGCGUUG